Molecule: long non-coding RNA, 255 nt
Organism: Penaeus chinensis
Lineage: Eukaryota; Metazoa; Arthropoda; Malacostraca; Decapoda; Penaeidae
Exons: 3
Source: RefSeq, a predicted model, not a curated record
GGCGAAAGGGACUAGAUGAAGACUUUCUGUGUAAUUUGAUAUGUGUGUAAUCAUCAGAGAGUUAGAAAAUGGUUUGCCGGCUACUGAGGACCUUCCUCCAAAAUACGACGACUUGGUGGACAAACUGCCAUCUUACGAGGAAGCAAUUUUCACGACACAAAAGAAUCCUUCGGUCGACGCGGGCAAGCAAGAACCUAGCUUUCGACCAGAAAUCCCUUCCUGACGUCGACAUCGAAGCGGCAUCGCGUGGAAACC